GAUGAACGCUGGCGGCGUGCCUAAUACAUGCAAGUCGAGCGAACAGACGAGGAGCUUGCUUCUCUGACGUUAGCGGCGGACGGGUGAGUAACACGUGGAUAACCUACCUAUAAGACUGGGAUAACUUCGGGAAACCGGAGCUAAUACCGGAUAAUAUAUUGAACCGCAUGGUUCAAUAGUGAAAGACGGUUUUGCUGUCACUUAUAGAUGGAUCCGCGCCGCAUUAGGUAGUUGGUAAGGUAACGGCUUACCAAGGCGACGAUGCGUAGCCGACCUGAGAGGACGACCGGCCACACUGGGACUGAGACACGGCCCAGACCCCUACGGGAGGCAGCAGUGGGGAAUUUUGGACAAUGGGCGAAAGCCGGAUGGAGCAACGCCGCGUGCGGGAAGAAGGUCUUCGGGUUGUAAACCUCUUUUAUAAGGAAAGAAAAGGCUCGGGCGAAUAUCUGGGGCUCAUGACGGUACCUAAAGAAAAAGCACCGGCUAACUACGUG
This 497-nucleotide ribosomal RNA is filed under the name uncultured bacterium. Its description in RNAcentral is "partial 16S ribosomal RNA". It matches the Rfam family "Bacterial small subunit ribosomal RNA", at positions 28 to 507 of the family's 1533-position model. The record is from RNAcentral.